This 1355-nucleotide ribosomal RNA is filed under the name uncultured bacterium. RNAcentral's name for it is "bacterial SSU rRNA". It matches the Rfam family "Bacterial small subunit ribosomal RNA", at positions 28 to 1381 of the family's 1533-position model. The record is from RNAcentral.
AUUGAACGCUGGCGGCAGGCUUAACACAUGCAAGUCGAACGAUGAUUAUCUAGCUUGCUAGAUAUGAUUAGUGGCGGACGGGUGAGUAACAUUUAGGAAUCUGCCUAGUAGUGGGGGAUAGCUCGGGGAAACUCGAAUUAAUACCGCAUACGACCUACGGGUGAAAGGGGGCGCAAGCUCUUGCUAUUAGAUGAGCCUAAAUCAGAUUAGCUAGUUGGUGGGGUAAAGGCCCACCAAGGCGACGAUCUGUAACUGGUCUGAGAGGAUGAUCAGUCACACCGGAACUGAGACACGGUCCGGACUCCUACGGGAGGCAGCAGUGGGGAAUAUUGGACAAUGGGGGCAACCCUGAUCCAGCCAUGCCGCGUGUGUGAAGAAGGCCUUUUGGUUGUAAAGCACUUUAAGCAGGGAGGAGAGGCUAAUGGUUAAUACCCAUUAGAUUAGACGUUACCUGCAGAAUAAGCACCGGCUAACUCUGUGCCAGCAGCCGCGGUAAUACAGAGGGUGCGAGCGUUAAUCGGAAUUACUGGGCGUAAAGCGAGUGUAGGUGGCUCAUUAAGUCACAUGUGAAAUCCCCGGGCUUAACCUGGGAACUGCAUGUGAUACUGGUGGUGCUAGAAUAUGUGAGAGGGAAGUAGAAUUCCAGGUGUAGCGGUGAAAUGCGUAGAGAUCUGGAGGAAUACCGAUGGCGAAGGCAGCUUCCUGGCAUAAUAUUGACACUGAGAUUCGAAAGCGUGGGUAGCAAACAGGAUUAGAUACCCUGGUAGGCCACGCCGUAAACGAUGUCUACUAGCCGUUGGGGUCCUUGAGACUUUAGUGGCGCAGUUAACGCGAUAAGUAGACCGCCUGGGGAGUACGGCCGCAAGGUUAAAACUCAAAUGAAUUGACGGGGGCCCGCACAAGCGGUGGAGCAUGUGGUUUAAUUCGAUGCAACGCGAAGAACCUUACCUGGUCUUGACAUAGUGAGAAUCCUGCAGAGAUGCGGGAGUGCCUUCGGGAAUUCACAUACAGGUGCUGCAUGGCUGUCGUCAGCUCGUGUCGUGAGAUGUUGGGUUAAGUCCCGCAACGAGCGCAACCCUUUUCCUUAUUUGCCAGCGGGUUAAGCCGGGAACUUUAAGGAUACUGCCAGUGACAAACUGGAGGAAGGCGGGGACGACGUCAAGUCAUCAUGGCCCUUACGACCAGGGCUACACACGUGCUACAAUGGUAGGUACAGAGGGUUGCUACACAGCGAUGUGAUGCUAAUCUCAAAAAGCCUAUCGUAGUCCGGAUUGGAGUCUGCAACUCGACUCCAUGAAGUCGGAAUCGCUAGUAAUCGCAGAUCAGAAUGCUGCGGUGAAUACGUUCCCGGGCCU